UCACUCAGUUGACACGCCAACUCUUUAAUU
This 30-nucleotide small RNA is filed under the name Bombyx mori (domestic silkworm). RNAcentral's name for it is "piRNA piR-bmo-1374785". The record is from RNAcentral. Lineage: Eukaryota; Metazoa; Arthropoda; Insecta; Lepidoptera; Bombycidae.